Molecule: ribosomal RNA, 464 nt
Filed under: uncultured bacterium
Lineage: Bacteria
Description: partial 16S ribosomal RNA
Rfam family: Bacterial small subunit ribosomal RNA
Source: RNAcentral
GACGAACGCUGGCGGCGUGCCUAACACAUGCAAGUCGAGCGAAUGAAGUUCCUUCGGGAAUGGAUUUAGCGGCGGACAGGUGAGUAACACGUGGGCAACCUGCCUCAUAGAGGGGAAUAGCCUUCCGAAAGGGAGAUUAAUACCGCAUAAGAUUGUAGUAUCGCAUGAUACAGCAAUUAAAGGAGCAAUCCGCUAUGAGAUGGGCCCGCGGCGCAUUAGCUAGUUGGUGAGGUAACGGCUCACCAAGGCGACGAUGCGUAGCCGACCUGAGAGGGUGAUCGGCCACAUUGGGACUGAGACACGGCCCAGACUCCUACGGGAGGCAGCAGUGGGGAAUAUUGCACAAUGGGGGAAACCCUGAUGCAGCAACGCCGCGUGAGUGAUGACGGCCUUCGGGUUGUAAAGCUCUGUCUUCAGGGACGAUAAUGACGGUACCUGAGGAGGAAGCCACGGCUAACUACGUG